AUUACUUUGGCAGAUUAAUGUAUUAAAUUUAGAAUUUAAAAAUGAAUAUAGUUCAAGUAAUA
Molecule: transfer RNA, 62 nt
Filed under: Habrophlebiodes zijinensis
Lineage: Eukaryota; Metazoa; Arthropoda; Insecta; Ephemeroptera; Leptophlebiidae
Description: tRNA-Leu
Source: RNAcentral